CUCUGCCCUCAGAUGGGAGAGAGGGGAAAGUGACUCCCUGUUUACUCAGGCUCUAAUCUGGGGCAUUGCUCGGAACUCCCAAAUCUGAUCCCCUCCAAACCUUGAGACAUUUGGGAGAAGGCCAGCAGGGGAAGGACCAGGGGACUUCUCCCUCUGGAAGGCAGAUUGGACUCCUAGUAGCCACCGCUUCUCCAUCGGCAAGAUCUCCUGAAAGCAAGGAUCUUGUCGCUCUUGUUCACAGCUGGCUCUUCAGUGCCCAGAGCAGGCUGACCUACUGCUACCUUCCAUGGAGACUCUUUGAAUGAAUGAAAAUUAAUCGGAAAUUACCUUUAAGAAAUUGUGUUUAAAUGCCUGUGGCCUGAAACCUCACGCUAGGAGUGGUGAACUUUGACUGUUACCUGCAUUCUGGGCCUUUCCCUUUAAGGUCCUGUUUCCCUCUCCCUGGGAUUCAUAUCCUAUACCCAACUAUAUCCAUUAAACUAUAUACAGUGUCACUUA
This is a long non-coding RNA of Balaenoptera ricei (Rice's whale), 498 nucleotides long. RefSeq lists it as uncharacterized. The transcript has 2 exons. NCBI's taxonomy places the organism in Eukaryota, Metazoa, Chordata, Mammalia, Artiodactyla, Balaenopteridae. The record is from RefSeq and is a predicted model, not a curated record.